Molecule: ribosomal RNA, 468 nt
Filed under: uncultured bacterium
Lineage: Bacteria
Description: partial 16S ribosomal RNA
Rfam family: Bacterial small subunit ribosomal RNA
Source: RNAcentral
GACGAACGCUGGCGGCGUGCUUAACACAUGCAAGUCGAACGGAAAGGCCCUGCUUUUGUUGGGUGCUCGAGUGGCGAACGGGUGAGUAACACGUGAGUAACCUGCCCUUGACUUUGGGAUAACUUCAGGAAACUGGGGCUAAUACCGGAUAGGAGCUCCUGCUGCAUGGUGGGGGUUGGAAAGUUUCGGUGGUUGGGGAUGGACUCGCGGCUUAUCAGCUUGUUGGUGGGGUAGUGGCUUACCAAGGCUUUGGCGGGUAGCCGGCCUGAGAGGGUGACCGGCCACAUUGGGACUGAGAUACGGCCCAGACUCCUACGGGAGGCAGCAGUGGGGAAUAUUGCACAAUGGGCGGAAGCCUGAUGCAGCAACGCCGCGUGCGGGAUGACGGCCUUCGGGUUGUAAACCGCUUUCGCCUGUGACGAAGCGUGAGUGACGGUAAUGGGUAAAGAAGCACCGGCUAACUACGUG